CUCCAUCUCUUCCAUAUCUCUUCUCCAUCUCCUCCAAAUUUUUAAAAUUUUUAUUCUCUCCAUCUCCUCCAUGUCUUAAUUUUCAAAUUUAUUUCCCCCCUUUCAAUUCUUUUCCCUUUCAAGAAUAAAUAAAGAAGAAAAAGAAGAUGAAGANNNNNNNNNNNNNNNNNNNNNNNAUGAACAUUCAAUGAAGAAGAAGAUGAAAAUGAAGAUGAAGAUGAUGAUUGAGAUGGAGAUGAAGAAGAUGAAUGAGAAAAUGAAGAUGAGAUUUUUUUAAGAAGAGAAAGAGAUGAAGAAGAAGAAGUAAAAGAUGAAGAAGAAGAUGAAAUUAGUGACUGCGAAGAACGAAGAAGAAGAAGAAAAGAAGAAAAAGACCAAAGAACGAAAUAAAACAAAAAAACAAGAUCGAAGAACGAUGAACGAAGAACAUAGAAACCCAGUUGGGUUUCUGCAUUUUUUAUUACUAGACGGAAAGUUUAUGGUGAAUUUAACGUGUUGUUAGGUUUAACAGCGGAUAAAAUAUGUUGUUAGGUUUAACAGCGGAUAAAAUCGUCGUUAAGUUUAACAAUGGAUAAAAUCCGUCGUUAACCAUCUUACCAUCGCCGUUAGGAUUUCUUACAUCGGCCUAUCCGCCGCUAAAAUAGAUAAAAACCCACCGUUAGCCAUGCAGUUUCUUGUAGUGUUCCUUCGACCAAUCCAAUCUAGCUCUUUGAUUUCAAUAACCUUCUUCGUCCUCCUCGA
RNAcentral lists this long non-coding RNA (741 nucleotides) under Linum usitatissimum (flax). RNAcentral's name for it is "long non-coding RNA (LUSI_LNC006870)". Lineage: Eukaryota; Viridiplantae; Streptophyta; Magnoliopsida; Malpighiales; Linaceae. The record is from RNAcentral.